RNAcentral lists this long non-coding RNA (515 nucleotides) under Heterocephalus glaber (naked mole-rat). RNAcentral's name for it is "lncRNA (ENSHGLG00100041680.1)". The record is from RNAcentral. Lineage: Eukaryota; Metazoa; Chordata; Mammalia; Rodentia; Bathyergidae.
GCAGUGUCCCUCAGAUAAAGUUUAUCUGGAAAGUUCAGUCCUGGCAGGAUUACAGGUUUUCCUCUUGACUUGGCAAAAGUCUUAGGAGCAAAACAAGGCACUUCAAGGAAAUGACACUAAAUGCCCUGGUUUUUCUCAGGGACUGUGCACACUGCCAUGGCUAGAACUGGAAAAGCAGAGUAGAUGCUGAAGAAUGCUGCCCAGAUCCACACUUCAACUACCUUUUUAGAAUAUGGUCAAGAACCUUUGACCAAGCAAUUUUAAUUUUUUGAAAAGUAGUGUACAUAAAUGCUACUGUAUGGACACCAACAUAUACAACUUCAUCUGCAAAUUACAAAAUUAUUUGUAAUAUGUGAAAAGUCAGAAGUUAUAUGAAAUUUCAUCAAUAUAGCACUGGUAAGUAAAUAGUACUAUUUGUACAUUUUCAGUAGUUAGAAUAUAGACUUCAAUAUACUGACAUGGGAAGUUCUUUGAGACUUACUGAUAAUUGGUAGAUGAAAAAGAACAAGCCAAAC